GGCCCUAUCGUCUAGCCCGGCCUAGGACGCCGCGUUCUCAGCGCGGAGACUGGGGUUCGAAUCCCCAUGGGGCUA
RNAcentral lists this transfer RNA (75 nucleotides) under Candidatus Omnitrophota bacterium. RNAcentral's name for it is "Candidatus Omnitrophica bacterium (groundwater metagenome) tRNA-Glu". It matches the Rfam family "tRNA". Rfam says of the family: Transfer RNA (tRNA) molecules are approximately 80 nucleotides in length. Their secondary structure includes four short double-helical elements and three loops (D, anti-codon, and T loops). The record is from RNAcentral. Lineage: Bacteria; Pseudomonadati; Candidatus Omnitrophota.